Molecule: ribosomal RNA, 202 nt
Filed under: uncultured Catenulostroma
Lineage: Eukaryota; Fungi; Ascomycota; Dothideomycetes; Mycosphaerellales; Teratosphaeriaceae
Description: partial large subunit ribosomal RNA
Rfam family: Eukaryotic large subunit ribosomal RNA
Source: RNAcentral
AUAUCAAUAAGCGGAGGAAAAGAAACCAACAGGGAUUGCCUUAGUAACGGCGAGUGAAGCGGCAACAGCUCAAAUUUGAAAUCUGGCUCCUUUGGUGCCCGAGUUGUAAUUUGUAGAGGAUGCUUCUGGGCAGCGGCCGGUCUAAGUUCCUUGGAACAGGACGUCACAGAGGGUGAGAAUCCCGUAUGCGACCGGCUAGCAC